GACGAACGCUGGCGGCGUGCUUAACACAUGCAAGUCGAGCGGUAAGGCCCCUUCGGGGGUACGACGAGCGGCGAACGGGUGAGUAACACGUGGGUGACCUGCCCUCAGCUCUGGGAUAAGCCUGGGAAACUGGGUCUAAUACCGGAUAUGACUCCAUGACGCAUGUCGUGGGGUGGAAAGCCUUGUGCGGCUGGGGAUGGGCCCGCGGCCUAUCAGCUUGUUGGUGGGGUGAUGGCCACCAAGGCGACGACGGGUAGCCGGCCUGAGAGGGCGACCGGCCACACUGGGGACUGAGACACGGCCCAGACUCCUACGGGAGGGCAGCAGUGGGGAAUCUUGCGCAAUGGGCGAAAGCCUGACGCAGCGACGCCGCGUGAGGGAUGACGGCC
This 389-nucleotide ribosomal RNA is filed under the name uncultured bacterium. Its description in RNAcentral is "bacterial SSU rRNA". It matches the Rfam family "Bacterial small subunit ribosomal RNA", at positions 28 to 416 of the family's 1533-position model. The record is from RNAcentral.